AGUCGAACGGCAGCACGGGAGCUUGCUCCUGGUGGCGAGUGGCGAACGGGUGAGUAAUACAUCGGAACGUACCCAGGAGUGGGGGAUAACGUAGCGAAAGUUACGCUAAUACCGCAUAUUCUGUGAGCAGGAAAGCGGGGGAUCGCAAGACCUCGCGCUCUUGGAGCGGCCGAUGUCGGAUUAGCUAGUUGGUGAGGUAAGAGCUCACCAAGGCGACGAUCCGUAGCAGGUCUGAGAGGAUGAUCUGCCACACUGGGACUGAGACACGGCCCAGACUCCUACGGGAGGCAGCAGUGGGGAAUUUUGGACAAUGGGGGCAACCCUGAUCCAGCCAUGCCGCGUGAGUGAAGAAGGCCUUCGGGUUGUAAAGCUCUUUCGGCGGGGAAGAAAUGGCAACGGCUAAUAUCCGUUGUUGAUGACGGUACCCGCAUAAGAAGCACCGGCUAACUACGUGCCAGCAGCCGCGGUAAUACGUAGGGUGCGAGCGUUAAUCGGAAUUACUGGGCGUAAAGCGUGCGCAGGCGGUUUCGUAAGACAGACGUGAAAUCCCCGGGCUCAACCUGGGAACUGCGUUUGUGACUGCGAGGCUAGAGUACGGCAGAGGGGGGUAGAAUUCCACGUGUAGCAGUGAAAUGCGUA
This 639-nucleotide ribosomal RNA is filed under the name Azospira sp. AR15. RNAcentral's name for it is "bacterial SSU rRNA". It matches the Rfam family "Bacterial small subunit ribosomal RNA", at positions 60 to 692 of the family's 1533-position model. Lineage: Bacteria; Pseudomonadati; Pseudomonadota; Betaproteobacteria; Rhodocyclales; Rhodocyclaceae. The record is from RNAcentral.